UGGCGAUGAGGAAAGAAAACCUUUGUGCCGGAGGCGGAUGCGCCGGUGUCGGUAACACAAAAUCCUCUAAGAAGUUCUGAGCCC
Molecule: small nucleolar RNA, 84 nt
Filed under: Oryza punctata
Lineage: Eukaryota; Viridiplantae; Streptophyta; Magnoliopsida; Poales; Poaceae
Description: Small nucleolar RNA U61
Rfam family: Small nucleolar RNA U61
Source: Rfam by way of RNAcentral